RNAcentral lists this non-coding RNA (222 nucleotides) under Jeotgalibaca dankookensis. RNAcentral's name for it is "T-box sequence". It matches the Rfam family "T-box leader". Rfam says of the family: Uncharged tRNA acts as the effector for transcription antitermination of genes in the T-box leader family. T-boxes are found upstream of many aminoacyl-tRNA synthetase genes and some amino acid biosynthetic genes usually in Gram-positive bacteria. The anticodon of a specific tRNA base pairs to a specifier sequence within the T-box motif, and the NCCA acceptor tail of the tRNA base pairs to a conserved bulge in the T-box antiterminator hairpin. Lineage: Bacteria; Bacillati; Bacillota; Bacilli; Lactobacillales; Carnobacteriaceae. The record is from RNAcentral.
UAAAUCGCUAAGCAUGUAGCUAGUAAGCAAAAUGAAACAACCAGAGAGUCGGUGGUAGGUGCGAACCGAUUGUAUCAUUUGCUGAAUCCAUACGUGAAGCAAACAAUGAAAACGAGCUAAUCGACUAAAUUGUUUCGGGUCCCCGUUAUCGUCACAAAGUGCGGAUGCUUUUGCGUCCGAAGCUGGGUGGUACCGCGAACGAGAAGUCACUUCGUCCCAAUA